Long non-coding RNA from Brienomyrus brachyistius, 896 nucleotides. RefSeq lists it as uncharacterized. NCBI's taxonomy places the organism in Eukaryota, Metazoa, Chordata, Actinopteri, Osteoglossiformes, Mormyridae. The record is from RefSeq and is a predicted model, not a curated record. The transcript has 3 exons.
CCCUGUUAAGAUCCCUUGUGAUCUGGUUUCUUCCUGAUUGUCUGUUUGUUUGGUUUUACUUUGAUAAAAACCCAUUUUGCUUUGCCCAAAAUGCCUUUCCCCAAGUGUAUCCUCCACCACAGUUUGCCAUUAUGGAAGAUGGAUGGGUGGCAAAAGAUGAAGAGUCUCACCUAAAGGUUGCUGGGUUCCAUCAAAGGGGGAACCUGGAAUGCCUGGAAAACAGCAUGAAGCACCGAGGACAUGCCGAAUCCACACACAUAAAGCUGAAGCUGCUUUCAGAUGAAAUACAAAAGCAACACUUUGAAUGGGAACAAAGUAGAUGCCAGAAAGAGACCAAAGGAUGGACCAUUUAUUCGUUCCCUGUACUUGCAUCUUCUAAGAAACUGCUGUGUCUCUGCAUGGAUCGCCUGCAACCUGAGGCACAGCAAGAUUCUGUGUUCAAAUGGACUAACUGCACUUGAAAUCCAAUUAUUUCUACUGCUGUGUUGAUACACAUAUGUAAAGGCAACAAAAAAAAACAAGAAAUUCUCAAUAGAAAAUUUUAGUUAUGGUGGCAAUCAUAAACAAUAGCAUGGGUAUAAUUUAUGGUGGUAGUGUGUGGGGGGAGGGAAUUGGACAGGACAUCACCCCUCAUUUGACCUGUAAUCACUCAUAUGCUUUAUAAAACGCUUGUGAUUCUUGGCAUGAGCGGGAAUCCCAUACUCAGCACAGGUGUUCUGCUUACCGGGCUGCUGCUGCCUCGCCCCUUGACCCUUUGCUGGGUAGGAGUUCGGAAGAUGAGUGAAUGGAUCAAAUCCUUGACAUGCAUAACGUAAAGUUUUCUCAGGGGAAGAAUUUUAAGAAAACAUCUAUGAGCCUGAUUUUAUUAAAAGGCUUGUUUUUUCACAACAGUAUUU